AAAGCAAGACGUGUUUUGAUUGCUGGCGCUCACAAAUUAUGCAAUCAUGUACCAAUGUUUAAAUGUUUUUUAUGUGCUAUACUUGUCCUCCACUACAUAUAAUAAAUAUAUAUGUUCUUGUCCUAUAUAUCUAUUUAUAUAUCUACCAGAAGAAUACAAAUUCCUCAAGCCACCUUGUUUUCUCUUUGUGGCUUUGAAACUUGAAUAACUCUUGAAUAGUUCAUGGCUAUGUUUUUCUUUUGCUGCUUCUCUGAAUCCUCAGAAUCCAAAGAGUUUAUAUGCCAAGGAGAUGUUUGUAUUCUCAGAGAUCGGAAGAAGUACCAAUCAAAAAAGUCCAAGAGCAAGCACUAAUCGUUUCCAUGUUAGAACUAUGUCCUAUGUAUUUAUUGAUUUUAUGGUUUUAUAGUAAACUUUUAAAGGAGAUCCAUUAGAUGAAGGAUUUUUUAGUCCUACAUAUCUAUUAUGUACUUGAUUACUCAGAAUUCCCAUGUUUAUGCGGGAUACAGCUGAAAAAGUUGAAUGGAUAACGAAUUUGGAUACUCUUGCAACAACAGAAAUUUUCUACAGCUCGAUCCCCUGUGCACAUUCAGAGCCAAUGAUUUUUUCAAUUAUUGUUUCUUACGGUUAUAUUUUUGUUUUGGAAUAGAUGUGCCUCCUAAUUUGUUGCUUUGUUCUAUCCAUAAAUAGUCCCUUUACCCUUGUGGCUCAAGUCAAUUUGGCUCACAAAAUUUAUGUCAUCUAGUGUUACCUCAAUUCUAGGCUUCAUGUAAACUUUGAGUCUAACACGUUUUCUAGGCAAAUAAUUUUGUGCCUCUCAAGAUCUAUUGCACAAUUAUUGACCAUUCUUUUGCAUAUGCUGCUUGGCCUUGAAUUACUGAGGCAUAUAAUAAUCUAAUAGAGUUCAGCAAAAAAAAAAAAAAAACAAAAGAAACCAGUACUGCAACAAAUUGUUCACCUUGGAGCUGGAAAUUCUUUCUCAUGGAUUUGUCAUGCUUCAAGAUUCGCUUUUGCUUCUCUGAAUCUUCAGAACCUAAAGGGCUCAUAGCCGUUUGUGAGGGCGAUGUUUGUUAUCUGGCGGAUCGGAAGAAAUACAAAGGAUCUAAAUCCAAGGGAAAGAAUAUGCAUAGCAGCUGAACCAAGUUUGUUUAUGUAUCCCAAGGGUGUCCAUGUUUGUUGUUGCUAGCUGCCAUCAAGUGUCUCAAUGCCUUGUAAUUACUCUACCAUGUAGCUGCUGUUUGGUGUCAUGUGAUUUCCAGUCUCAGACAAUGGUAAAAAGGUAAGAAUAUUUUACUGGUGUUUCAAGGAGAAGAAAAGAACACCUUAUGGGUGCUGUAUAGCAAGCUAGAAGAAUUGAAAUAUUUGUUAAUCCCAUGUUGGAGGAUGGUUUUUAAUUUUAUAUUUUUAACAUUUAAAAAAACUGAUUUAUAAUUUUAGAUUCA
Long non-coding RNA from Lotus japonicus, 1439 nucleotides. RefSeq lists it as uncharacterized. NCBI's taxonomy places the organism in Eukaryota, Viridiplantae, Streptophyta, Magnoliopsida, Fabales, Fabaceae. The record is from RefSeq and is a predicted model, not a curated record. The transcript has 2 exons.